CAAGUACUCCAUCCGUCCGGAAUUACUUGUCAUCAAAAUGGAUGUGUCUAGAACUAAAAUACAUCUAGAUACAUCCAUUUCAAUGACAAGUAUUUUCGGACGGAGGGAGUACAAG
Non-coding RNA from Triticum urartu, 115 nucleotides. Lineage: Eukaryota; Viridiplantae; Streptophyta; Magnoliopsida; Poales; Poaceae. The record is from Rfam.